AACGAACGCUGGCGGCAUGCCUAACACAUGCAAGUCGAACGAGACCUUCGGGCUUAGUGGUGCACGGGUGCGUAACGCGUGGGAACCUGCCUUUAGGUUCGGAAUAACUUCCCGAAUGGGGUGCUAAUACCGGCUCUUGUCCCCGGUCCAAAGGUUUAUCGCCUUUGGAUGGGCUUGCGUUGGAUUAGUUAGUUGGUAGGGUAAAAGGCUAUCAAGGCAACGAUCCAUAGCUGGUUAGAGAGGAUGAUCAGCCACACUGGGCGUGAGACACGGUCCGGACUCCUACAGGAGGCAGCAAUGGGGAAUAUAGGACUAUGGGCGAUGGCCUGAUCGAGCUAUGCCGCGUGAGUAAUGAAGGCCGUGAGGUUGUAAAGCACUUUUACCCGGGAUUAUAAUGACGGUACCGAGAGAAUAAGCUCCGGCUAACUCCGUG
RNAcentral lists this ribosomal RNA (433 nucleotides) under uncultured bacterium. RNAcentral describes it as "partial 16S ribosomal RNA". It matches the Rfam family "Bacterial small subunit ribosomal RNA", at positions 29 to 507 of the family's 1533-position model. The record is from RNAcentral.